Long non-coding RNA from Beta vulgaris subsp. vulgaris (sugar beet), 1359 nucleotides. RefSeq lists it as uncharacterized. The transcript is spliced from 2 exons. The record is from RefSeq and is a predicted model, not a curated record. Lineage: Eukaryota; Viridiplantae; Streptophyta; Magnoliopsida; Caryophyllales; Amaranthaceae.
UUAUCAUAGUUGGUUAUUUUUGGAAGAUAAACCCAACCCCCCCUAUUGUCGGUCAAAAAUUGGUAAACCCAAAUUCCUUAAACCCCUCCUCUCUCUCCCGUGUCUUCUACUCCCAAAACCCCAACCCCAAAACCCAGUUCUCUCUCCUUGUGUUCUCGUCGGAACCCAAGCUCGUCGGAGCCUCGACUCGUCUCGCCGCCGCGAGCCAGCGACGUUACUAUUCUCAUUUUCUCUCUCUCCUCUAUUUUGUCGUUGUUGUUAUUGAUGCUCUUCGCCGCCUCCUUCGCCGGAGCUGCGUGUCUCCCUGCUCACAUCUUUCUCCUCUGUUCGUGUCCUGCUAUCGCGGCGCUGCUCGCGUGCCACCGCGGUGCUGUUGUUGUUGCUUGCGGUUGAUCGGUACUGCCGUUGUUGCUUGCGGUUGGUCGGUGCUGCUACUGUAAGCAUUUCUAAGUCUUUCCUUUCGUUGCUGCUGUUUGUUAUUUGUUGAUGUUGUGGUGGUGAUGUUGUGGUGGUUAUUGUUGAGUUGUUGUUGGUAGUUUUGUUCUUGAAUUGUUGAUGCUGUUGUUAUGUUGUUGGGGUAGUUAUUGUUGUUGUUGCUCUGUUGUUUGUUGUUGUUAUUGGGAUGUUGUUGUUGCGGUGGUGUUGUUAUUGCUGUUGCGGUGCUGUUGUUAUUAUUGUUGUUGUGGAGUUGUGUGGUGGUCGUGGUGAAGUGUUGCAUUAUUGUUGUUCUGUUAUUGUGGUGGUUUAUUAGUUUUAAGUGAUGGGUAAGUUUGUAGGUAAAUCUGAAAGUUAAGAUGAUGUCUUUUAGAAGUAGUUUUGUGUGGUUUCCUAUUCAAGGAUAUUAUAUAGUAGUCGUAUGGUUGUUGUUGUUGUAGUUAUUGGAGUCGUGUGUUGGAUGUUAAGUUUAAGAGUUAUAAAAUGGAUUUCAUUAGAUUUUAUUUCGGGAUUUAGUUUGAUCGGUGUAGUACGUUGUUUUAAGAAAGGUUGAUUAGAUUAGAUUAGUUUCUUUUAUUGAGAUUUUGUGAUAAUGGUUUUUGUAAUUAGUUAUAUUUGUUAUUGAGGUUAAGGAUUGUUAGGAGUUCAAGAGAGUUGGAGUUGUGGAAUUCUCAAAGUCUUUAUAUGUCGGAGCUACGGAAUGGAUCGCGUAUGAGGUUUGGUAUCAAGAGCUCGAGAAUUGAAGUGAAGCAAGAUUAUGAUGUCGUCCUAGAUUAAGGAUUGAGCUUGUAUCUAGUUAGUUGAUUGGAGAAUAGUUUAUGAUAUUUCGUUGUAUAAUAUUUGGGAAUUUUAGUUCAGUUAUUGGUGUAUUUAAGGAUAUUUUUCCGCUGCGAAGUAAUUUAUUUAAGAGUUAAUUCUUGUUUA